ACCAAAUAAAAAAAAAAAUCCUCUUUUCUGACUCCCCCCUCUUUAAGAACUUUUGGAUCUUGGCAUGGUAAGUUCAUAUCCAUUCUUUUUCUUCUUUUUUUUUAGUUUAUAUUUCUUUGCCUCUAUUUUCAUCUCCUUUUUCAAUUAUUGAGUAUUAGUGUUUUAAUAGUUAAUUUUUGCCUAUUAAUAUAGAUUCGAUGUAACUUGAUUGACUGGGAGGCUUGGAAAAGUCGAUGUGCUCUGCAAUUGUUCAUUCUCUUGAAAACCCAACAUUGUAAUCAACUUAGGUAUGUAAUCUUUUGUGUAUAUACAUCUUUUCUCCAUUUCUAAGUCUAUUGCCAAAUGAGUUAUUAUAGUGGUUUAAA
RNAcentral lists this long non-coding RNA (365 nucleotides) under Coffea arabica (coffee). RNAcentral's name for it is "long non-coding RNA (CARA_LNC003432)". Lineage: Eukaryota; Viridiplantae; Streptophyta; Magnoliopsida; Gentianales; Rubiaceae. The record is from RNAcentral.